This 85-nucleotide transfer RNA is filed under the name Streptosporangiales bacterium. RNAcentral describes it as "tRNA-Tyr". It matches the Rfam family "tRNA". Rfam says of the family: Transfer RNA (tRNA) molecules are approximately 80 nucleotides in length. Their secondary structure includes four short double-helical elements and three loops (D, anti-codon, and T loops). Lineage: Bacteria; Bacillati; Actinomycetota; Actinomycetes; Streptosporangiales. The record is from RNAcentral.
GGCGGGUUGCCCGAGUGGCCAAAGGGAGCGGUCUGUAAAACCGUCGGCUCAGCCUACCCAGGUUCGAACCCUGGACCCGCCACCA